GGAAAAUAGAGUUGAGAACCAUCAGAAGUGGACGGACAGAGGACUUAGGAAAUAGAAACAUAUGGUUGAUUUUCUUGCUCUGAAAAUACCAUCAAGUGCUGCUGGAUACUGAAGAUAAGCCUUCCUGGCCUCAAAGGAUAGAAGGAGCUCCCUGGGUCCAAGAAGUCCCAUUCCUGCCCUGCACCCAGGUCAGCCCAUUCACAGCAACGUUACGCCUUGGUGGAAAAUUUGCCUUGUGUCUGAAACACAGACAGAAAGAAGAAAGAGAGGAGAGGCUCAGAUGUUUGUAGCAAUCUGGUCUGUUUUGAACAUAAAGCUAUCGGAAGAUAAAGAGAAUUUGAGAAGGCUGUACUUUUAUUUCUCAGCAUGUGAAAGAAUAUAGUACAAAUGCUAUUCUGGAUAUACCACAUCUAAAUAUGAAUGCACCAUGUUAGAAAGAAGUCAACUG
Lepidothrix coronata (blue-crowned manakin) is the source of this 448-nucleotide long non-coding RNA. RefSeq lists it as uncharacterized. The record is from RefSeq and is a predicted model, not a curated record. NCBI's taxonomy places the organism in Eukaryota, Metazoa, Chordata, Aves, Passeriformes, Pipridae. The transcript has 3 exons.